Ribosomal RNA from Danio rerio (zebrafish), 115 nucleotides. The record is from Ensembl. NCBI's taxonomy places the organism in Eukaryota, Metazoa, Chordata, Actinopteri, Cypriniformes, Danionidae.
ACCGGCAGCUAGCUCUCUGCAUCUUUCACAUGGUUGCCCACUGACGCUAAGCAGGGCUGUGCCCGGUCAGUACCUAGAUGGCUGACCACAUGGGAAAGCUAGGGUGCUGCCAGGA